AACAAACUUACGUUGGUUUCAGAAAUAAUUAUUUUAUCAAUUUUAUUGUGACUUUUAUGAUUAUUACUAUAGCAAUCAUUCAUCUUCAUGUUAUAACUGCAUGGAGGCUCUGUUUGUUGCGACUUAUACUUUUAUUCAUAAACUUAACCUGGUUUUAAUUAAGCUCCAUAUAACAAAGAGACCUUGAUAUUGUGAGGUUGUUGUUAUAACUUGUUCAUCAAUGAUUUUAUCUUCAACAUAUGUUUGCUGUCUAACUAAGCAAAUAAAGAUGAAAGAGGAAGCCAGAGAAAUCGGGUGCUAGAAAACCUAAAGACUUUCUGUCUCAGAAGAGGCUCUGGUUCCACCAGAUCACCAACCAGCUCUGAGGAUGAACCUCCACAUCGUCUUCAUGAUGGCCCUGUGAUGGACUGGUGACCUGUC
Long non-coding RNA from Poecilia latipinna (sailfin molly), 420 nucleotides. RefSeq lists it as uncharacterized. The transcript has 3 exons. The record is from RefSeq and is a predicted model, not a curated record. Lineage: Eukaryota; Metazoa; Chordata; Actinopteri; Cyprinodontiformes; Poeciliidae.